Molecule: non-coding RNA, 21 nt
Organism: Caenorhabditis elegans
Lineage: Eukaryota; Metazoa; Nematoda; Chromadorea; Rhabditida; Rhabditidae
Source: Ensembl
UGCCACUGUUUAAUAUUCAUU